This 495-nucleotide ribosomal RNA is filed under the name uncultured bacterium. RNAcentral describes it as "partial 16S ribosomal RNA". It matches the Rfam family "Bacterial small subunit ribosomal RNA", at positions 28 to 507 of the family's 1533-position model. The record is from RNAcentral.
GACGAACGCUGGCGGCGUGCCUAAUACAUGCAAGUAGAACGCUGAAGGAGGAGCUGGCUCUGCUGGAUGAGUUGCGAACGGGUGAGUAACGCGUAGGUAACCUGGCUGGUAGCGGGGGAUAACUGUUGGAAACGAUAGCUAAUACCGCAGAAGAGUAGAUGUUGCAUGACAUUUACUUAAAAGGUGCAAUUGCAUCACUACCAGAUGGACUUGCGUUGUAGUAGCGAGUUGGUGGGGUAACGGCGUACCAAGGCGACGAUACAUAGACGACCUGGGAUGGUGGUCCGGCAACAUGGGAACGGGGACACGCCCCGACUCCCUACGGGAGGCGCAGUAGGGAAUCUUUGGACAUGGACGGAAGUCUGACCCCGCCCAGCCGGGUGGGUGAAGAAGGUUUUCCGGUUGUAAAGCCCUGUUGUAAGAGAAGAACGAGUGUGAGAGUGGAACCUUCCCACUGUGACGUUAUCUUAACAGAAAGAGCCGGCUAACUACGUG